This 831-nucleotide ribosomal RNA is filed under the name Lactiplantibacillus pentosus. RNAcentral describes it as "bacterial SSU rRNA". It matches the Rfam family "Bacterial small subunit ribosomal RNA", at positions 100 to 915 of the family's 1533-position model. Lineage: Bacteria; Bacillati; Bacillota; Bacilli; Lactobacillales; Lactobacillaceae. The record is from RNAcentral.
GAACUGGUGAGUAACACGUGGGAAACCUGCCCAGAAGCGGGGGAUAACACCUGGAAACAGAUGCUAAUACCGCAAACAACUUGGACCGCAGGUCCGAGUUUGAAAGAUGGCUUCGGCUAUCACUUUUGGAUGGUCCCGCGGCGUAUUAGCUAGAUGGUGGGGUAACGGCUCACCAUGGCAAUGAUACGUAGCCGACCUGAGAGGGUAAUCGGCCACAUUGGGACUGAGACACGGCCCAAACUCCUACGGGAGGCAGCAGUAGGGAAUCUUCCACAAUGGACGAAAGUCUGAUGGAGCAACGCCGCGUGAGUGAAGAAGGGUUUCGGCUCGUAAAACUCUGUUGUUAAAGAAGAACAUAUCUGAGAGUAACUGUUCAGGUAUUGACGGUAUUUAACCAGAAAGCCACGGCUAACUACGUGCCAGCAGCCGCGGUAAUACGUAGGUGGCAAGCGUUGUCCGGAUUUAUUGGGCGUAAAGCGAGCGCAGGCGGUUUUUUAAGUCUGAUGUGAAAGCCUUCGGCUCAACCGAAGAAGUGCAUCGGAAACUGGGAAACUUGAGUGCAGAAGAGGACAGUGGAACUCCAGGUGUAGCGGUGAAAUGCGUAGAUAUAUGGAAGAACACCAGUGGCGAAGGCGGCUGUCUGGUCUGUAACUGACGCUGAGGCUCGAAAGUAUGGGUAGCAAACAGGAUUAGAUACCCUGGUAGUCCAUACCGUAAACGAUGAAUGCUAGGUGGUUGGAAGGGUUUCCGCCCUUCAGUGCUGCAGCUAACGCAUUAAGCAUUCCGCCCGGGGGAGUACGGCCGCAAGGCUGAAACUCAAAGGAAUUGACG